Molecule: ribosomal RNA, 230 nt
Filed under: uncultured Alphaproteobacteria bacterium
Lineage: Bacteria; Pseudomonadati; Pseudomonadota; Alphaproteobacteria
Description: partial 16S ribosomal RNA
Rfam family: Bacterial small subunit ribosomal RNA
Source: RNAcentral
GCACGUAGGCGGACUAUUAAGUCAGGGGUGAAAUCCCGGGGCUCAACCCCGGAACUGCCUCUGAUACUGGUAGUCUAGAGUUCGAGAGAGGUGAGUGGAAUUCCGAGUGUAGAGGUGAAAUUCGUAGAUAUUCGGAGGAACACCAGUGGCGAAGGCGGCUCACUGGCUCGAUACUGACGCUGAGGUGCGAAAGUGUGGGGAGCAAACAGGAUUAGAUACCCUGGUAGUCC